CUGGUUGAUCCUGCCAGUAGUUAUAUGCUUGUCUCAAAGAUUAAGCCAUGCCUGUCUAAGUAUAAGUUCUAUACAGCGAAACUGUGAAUGGCUCAUUAUAACAGUUAUGAUUUCCUAGCCGGUCAGUGAUUCAUUGGAUACCCAUGGUAAUUCUAGAGCUAAUACAUGCUUACAAACCCAACUUCACGGAAGGGUUGCACUUAUUAGAUACCGAACCAGCCCACACUCUGUGUGGUUUUUGUUGAUUCAUAGUAGUCUGGCGAAUCGCCUAUCGAGGCGAUGAGGCUAUCAAGUUUCUGACCUAUCAGCUUCCGACGGUAGGGUAUCGGCCUACCGUGGCUUUAACGGGUAACGGAGAAUUAGGGUUCGAUUCCGGAGAGGGAGCCUGAGAAACGGCUACCACAUCUAAGGAAGGCAGCAGGCGCGUAAAUUACCCAAUCCUGACUCAGGGAGGUAGUGACAAGAAAUAUCAAUAUAAGACUUUUAUGUCUUGUAAUUGGGAUGAGCGAAACAUAAACCGCUUCUCGAGUAUCAAUUGGAGGGCAAGUCUGG
This 552-nucleotide ribosomal RNA is filed under the name uncultured eukaryote. RNAcentral describes it as "SSU rRNA". It matches the Rfam family "Eukaryotic small subunit ribosomal RNA", at positions 4 to 564 of the family's 1831-position model. The record is from RNAcentral.